This 489-nucleotide ribosomal RNA is filed under the name uncultured bacterium. Its description in RNAcentral is "bacterial SSU rRNA". It matches the Rfam family "Bacterial small subunit ribosomal RNA", at positions 442 to 920 of the family's 1533-position model. The record is from RNAcentral.
GAGAAGAACAAGUUGGAGAGUAACUGCUCCAGCCUUGACGGUAUCUGACCAGAAAAGCCACGGCUAACUACGUGCCAGCAGCCGCGGUAAUACGUAGGUGGCAAGCGUUGUCCGGAUUUUAUUGGGCGUAAAGCGAGCGCAGGCGGUUCCUUAAGUCUGAUGUGAAAGCCCACGGCUCAACCGUGGAAGGUCAUUGGAAACUGGGGGACUUGAGUGCAGAAGAGGAGAGUGGAAUUCCAUGUGUAGCGGUGAAAUGCGUAGAUAUAUGGAGGAACACCAGUGGCGAAGGCGACUCUCUGGUCUGUAACUGACGCUGAGGCUCGAAAGCGUGGGGAGCAAACAGGAUUAGAUACCCUGGUAGUCCACGCCGUAAACGAUGAGUGCUAAGUGUUGGAGGGUUUCCACCCUUCAGUGCUGCAGCUAACGCAUUAAGCACUCCGCCUGGGGAGUACGGCCGCAAGGCUGAAACUCAAAGGAAUUGACGGGGAC